This 250-nucleotide ribosomal RNA is filed under the name uncultured prokaryote. RNAcentral's name for it is "partial 16S ribosomal RNA". It matches the Rfam family "Bacterial small subunit ribosomal RNA", at positions 524 to 773 of the family's 1533-position model. The record is from RNAcentral.
UACGUAGGGGGCGAGCGUUGUCCGGAAUGACUGGGCGUAAAGGGCGCGUAGGCGGUUUUAUAAGUUAGGAGUGAAAGUCCAGCUUUCAAGGGUGGAAUAGCUUUUAAUACUGUAGGACUUGAGUGCAGAAGAGGUAAGCGGAAUUCCCAGUGUAGCGGUGAAAUGCGUAGAGAUUGGGAAGAACACCAGUGGCGAAGGCGGCUUACUGGGCUGUAACUGACGCUGAGGCGCGAAAGCGUGGGGAGCGAAC